GUUGGGCCAAGUAAUUGUUUAGAUACACUUGAUUAAAAAGCUUUGGGCUUUAUAUUGAGAGUUUAUGUAAAAAUGUAAAAUAAGUAGGACUAUAUAAUAAAAUUUUUUUAGCAAAAUCUCAGGGUGGGGAAGUGACCUCCCUAGUACAACACUGCAUCCGCCAAUGGCUGUCGGCGUCUUCUUGAUAUGUUUAAAUCCUCAUGGUUCUUGUAUGUGAUUAAUCAUUGAUCGCAACCAUGGAAAUUUAUAAGGUCAAGGAUGACACUUUUCGUCAAAAUAGAACCAAUGUGAAGUCGAGUAAGCGGAUCAAAACUAUCCUCAGAAAACUGCGUCAUGAGAUCACAAGUGUUUUUGUGGGCUAAUGUAAUCUAGCAGCUAUUUGUGAUGCACGAUGGAAAGCAAUGAUUUUGUAGGAUAUCCUGCGCAGAAUUGGGACAAAGGCUGGACACUUGAUGAACGUUUUGACUCCUUGAUAGUACUUCGUGGAGCAAAAUUGGUUGAUGUUACCAAAGUCGUUUUACAGAUUCUUAAACCAAAUGACGCUGCUCCUUCUUGAGGCUAAGUUUUACUCGUACUUCUUUUUUAUAUGUUCAUCCGCACACAUUUCAAUGGUUAUACCUGUUGUCUGUUAGCUGGUAGAUUACCUCAAAUACCGUUAGCACCAAGCUGAUUUUUUUCUGACAUAAACAGAUAGUGAAUAAAAUUUUUGUGAAAUUAGAAAACUAUAUCAAGAGAGUCAUUUAUGUUAUUAUAAAAUAAGCAUAAUAAUAUUAUAUAAUAAACUAAAAAUGCACU
Long non-coding RNA from Erigeron canadensis, 795 nucleotides. RefSeq lists it as uncharacterized. The record is from RefSeq and is a predicted model, not a curated record. NCBI's taxonomy places the organism in Eukaryota, Viridiplantae, Streptophyta, Magnoliopsida, Asterales, Asteraceae. The transcript is spliced from 5 exons.